GCAUGGGUUUGGAUUUCUGAAAGGCCUAUACCCCCUGGGUCUCUCAUAGUGCCCCAUGCUAGAGCAAACUGGCCCCGAACCAUUGCCUGGCCUCUGCCCAUAGGCUGCUGGCACUGAAGUGGGUCACACAGUG
Molecule: small nucleolar RNA, 133 nt
Organism: Microcebus murinus (gray mouse lemur)
Lineage: Eukaryota; Metazoa; Chordata; Mammalia; Primates; Cheirogaleidae
Gene: SNORA80A
Product: small nucleolar RNA, H/ACA box 80A
Source: Ensembl